Molecule: long non-coding RNA, 476 nt
Filed under: Phoenix dactylifera (date palm)
Lineage: Eukaryota; Viridiplantae; Streptophyta; Magnoliopsida; Arecales; Arecaceae
Description: long non-coding RNA (PDAC_LNC014275)
Source: RNAcentral
GAGUUAUUAGAGAACAGCCCAAUUCUCACAGUCGCGGCCUCACGACAACUCUCAUUUAGGUGAGUCCUCCAAGAAUACAUGUAACCUGUAUCCUGCAGGAGUAUGCCUGCCUCGGGCUCAUUCAGGGUAACACCCUUCCUUAACGUCACAUAUCAAAGCACUAUUGCCAUAGGGAUGAGCAGGAGACUCUCUCCUUAAAAGUAGUGCUAAAAUGAGUCACGCAAUAUGGAUUGUUUCUAUCCAUUGAACCUUCUUCAUGGGAUCUCCAAUCACAAAGGUUGGAUUACCUCCCUAGGUGACUCCCUUAUGGGCUUAAGCCCAUCCUCCUCGACAAGUCAAUGAUAGCUAUCUUAGAAAGAGCUUUGGUCAGCUGAUCAGCUAUAUUUUUCUCAGAUUUUACAAAUUCCAAAGACACAAUAUUCUUAUUCAAUAGGCUUUUAACUGAUUUAUACCUCACUUGCAAAUGCCUAUUCAUU